AUAAGUCAUAAUGAAAGGUAUUCGAUACUGUAUAAGUCAUAAUGAAAGGUAUUACCUACUGUUUAAGUCAUAAUGAAAUAUGUUAGAUACUGUGAAAGCCAUAUUGAAAGGUGUUAGAUACUGUAUACGCAAUAUUGAAAGUUAUUACAUACCGUAUAAGUCAUAAUGAAAAGUAUUAGACACUAUAUAAGUCAAAAUGAAAUGGAGGUAGUAGAUGUGGAAGGGAGAGAGUGAGGAGAGAGAGAGAGAGAGAGAGAGAGGGAGGGAGAAAGAGGGAGCGAGAGAGAGAGGGAGAAAGACGGAGAGAGAGACUGUAAAUCUGAGUAAGACAAAAAUAAUUGUGUUCCAAAAAAGGUCCAGUUGUACUCACUAAUAAAUAUUCCAUCUAGACACUGUUGCCAUAGAGCACACACAAACUAUACAUACCUUGGCCUAAACAUCGGCGCCACAGUUAACUUCCACAAAGCUGUGAACUAUUUGAGAGACAAGGCAAGAAGGGCCUUCUACGCCAUCAAAAGGAAUAUAAAAUCCAACAUACCAAUUAGGAUCUGGCAAAAAAUACUUGAAUCAAUUAUAUCAAAUCAAAUGUAUUUAUAUAGCCUUUCUUACAUCAGCUGAUAUCUCAAAGUGCUGUACAGAAACCCAGCCUAAAACCCCAAACAGCAAGUAAUGCAGGUGUAGAAGCACGGUGGCUAGGAAAAACUCCCUAGAAAGGCCAAAACCUAGGAAGAAACCUAGAGAGGACCCAGGCUAUGAGGGGUGGCCAGUCCUCUUCUGGCUGUGCCGGGUGGAGAUUAUAACAGAACAUGGCCAAGAUGUUCAAAUGUUCAUAAAUGACCAGCAUGGUCAAAUAAUAAUAAUCACAGUAGUUGUUGAGGGUGCAACAAUUCAGCACCUCAAGAGUAAAUGUCAGUUGGCUUUUCAUAGCCGAUCAUUGAGAGUAUCUCUACCGCUCCUGCUGUCUCUAGAGAGUUGAAAACAGCAGGUCUGGGACAGGUAGCAUGUCCAGU
This 1010-nucleotide long non-coding RNA is filed under the name Salmo salar (Atlantic salmon). Its description in RNAcentral is "lncRNA (ENSSSAG00000110771.1)". The record is from RNAcentral. Lineage: Eukaryota; Metazoa; Chordata; Actinopteri; Salmoniformes; Salmonidae.